CGUUAUGUAAAUAUGUGCAAAUUAUAAACAAAAAAAAGCUGGGAUGGCUAUACUAAUAACAGACAAAUUAGAUGUUAAGUAAAAACAUGUUACAAGAGCAAAGAUGGACAUUUUAUGUUGUUAAGUUUCAAUUUAUCAAAAAGAUAUAACAAUUAUAAACAUAUAUGCACCAUAUGACAGCCAGAAAAUAUAUAAAACAAACCUUUAGAAAACUGAAGGGAGAAAUAUACAGUUCUACAAUAAUAGUUGGAGACCUUAAUGCCUCACUUUCCACAAUUGAUAGACAAGUAGAAAGAAAACCAAUAAGGAAGUAGGAGGCUUGAACAAUACUACAAAACCAACUAGACCCCAGAGACACGUACAGAACAUUCCACUCAACAAUAGCAGAAUACAGUCUUCUCAAGUACACAUGGGACAUUCUUCAGGAUAGACUAUAUGUUCUUCCAUAAAACAAUUAUCUAUAAGCUUAAAAAGACUAAGGUGAUACAUACUAUCUUUUUGAACCACAAUAAAAUGAGUAAUCAAUACAGAAGGAAAACUAGAAAAUUCACAAACACCUGGAACUAAGCAAUAUACUUGUUCACAAAAAGUAUAUUGCUUCACAACAAGUAUAUUGCUUAGUUCCAGGUAUUUGUGAAUUUUCUUUAGUGGUUUAAAGAAUAAAUCACUAGAGAAAUUAGAUAAUAAUUUAAGAUGACUGAAAACAAAAACAAACAUUCCAAAACUUACAAAAUGCAGGAAAAACUGUAUUCAGAGAAAAAUUUACAGCUGUAAAUGCCUGCAUUAAAAAAGAAAAAUAUCAAAUCAACCUAAAUUUACACAUUAAGAAAACAGACAAAGAAGAGCAAACUAAAUCCAAAGCCAGCAGAAGAUAAUGAAGAUCCGAAAAGAGAAAAAUGAAAUAGAGAAAAAAAUAUAAUCCAUGAGAUCAAAGAAAAUACCAACAAAAUUGAUAAAUCCUUAGCUAGACUACUAAGAAAAAAGAGAGAAGACAUAAAUAAGUAGAAUCAGAAAUAAAGGUAGGGAUAUUACUGCUGACCUUACAGAAAUUAAAAGUAUUAUAAGAGAAUUAUAGGAACAAUUCGUAUGACAACAAGUUAGAUAAUCUAGGUGAAAUAGACAAAUUCCAUGACUUACCAAAAAUAACUUAAAAGAAACACAAAGUCUCAACAGACCUAUAUAUAACAAAAAGACCUAUAUAAGUAAAAAGAUUAAAUCCGUCAAAACUCUUCCAUCGAAGAAAUAGCCUAGACCAUAUAGGUUCACCCAUAAGUUCUGUCAAACAUUUAAAGAUGAAUUAAUAUCAUUCUUACUCAAAAAUCUCCAAAAAUAGAAGAGGAAAGAAUACUUCCUAACACGUUCUAUGAGGCCAGCAUUAUCCUGAUACCAAAGUCAGAUAAAGAUACCAUAAGAAAAAUAUAGACCAAUAUCCCUUAUGAGUAUAGAUGCAAACACCGUCAACAAAAUAUUAACAAGCCAAAUCCCACAGAACAUUAAAAAAAUUAUGCACUAUGACCAAGUGGGAUUUAUCCCAGAAAUGCGAGGGUGGUUCAACAUAAGAAGGUCAAUGUAAUAUACACUAAAAAAAAAAAAAGUCAUCUCAAUACUACUAAGGAAAAAAAAAUCAUCUCAAUACUAAAAGUAUUUGACUAAAUUCAACACCCUUUCAUGAUAAAAAAACAUUUAGCAAAUUAGCAACAGAAGAGGACUUCCUUAACAUGACAAAGAACAUUUAUGAAAACCCACAGCUAACAUCACACUGAAUGGUCAGACUGAAAGUUUUCCUCCUGAGAAAAGGAACAAGACAACAAUUCCUGCUUUCACCACUACUGUUUAACAUUGUACUGGAAAUCGUAGCCAGGGCAAUUUGGCAAGGAAAAGAAAUAAAAGGCAUCCAAAUUGGGAAGGAAGAAGUAAAACCAUUUUUGUUUGCAGAUAACAUGAUUCUAUAUAUAGAAAAAUCCCAUGGAAUCCACACACACACAAAAAAAAUUACUAGAGCUGAUCAAUUCAGCACAGUGGCAGCAUCAGCACACACCUCUAAUGAAUGAUUCAAAAAAGAAUUUAAGAAAACAAUUAUAAUAGUGUCAAAAAGAAGAAAAUACAUAAACAUAAAUUUAACCAAGAGGUGAAAGACUUGUACACUGGAAACUAUAAAACACUGCAGAAAUUAAAGAAGACCUAAAAAAAUGGAAAGAUAUCCCACAAUCAUGGAUUGGAAUGCUUAAUAUUGUUAAGCUGGCAAUCUGAAAAUGGUCCAUAGAUUCAAUGCAAUCUCCACCAAAAUUCUAAUAGCCUUUUGGGCAAAAAAUGAAAAAAACCAAUCUUCAAAUUCAUAUGGAACAGCAAGGGGCUCUGAACAGCCAAAACAAUACUGAAAAAGAAAAACAAAGUAGAAGGACUCCUACUUCCUGAUUUCAAAACUUAUUACAAGUCUACAGUAGUCAAGAGUAUAGUAUUGGCAUAAGAAUAAAUACAUAGAUCAUGGAAUAGAAUUGAGAGUGCAGAAAUAAACAUCUAUGGCCAACUGAUUUCAAGAGGGUCAAGACUAUUCAGUUGGGAAAAAAUAGUUUCUUCAACAAAUCACACUGGACAAGUGGCUAAUCACAUGCAAAAGAAUGAAGUUGGACCCCUACCUCAUUCAUGUAUAAAAAUUGAUUCACAACAGUUCAACAAUCUAAAUUUAGGAGUUAAAACUGUAGAACUCCUAGAAAACAUAUACAUUAAUGUUUAUGAUGUUGGUUUUGGCAAUGGAUUCUUUUGACACCAAAAAUAUGAGCAACAAAGGAAAAAAUAGAUAAAUUGGACUAUGUAAAAAUUUAAACUUUUGUGCAUCAAAGGACAUUAUCAGUACUGUGAAAAGGCAACUUACAGAAUGAGAGAAAAUAUUUACAAAUCAUGUAUCUUAUAAGGGUUUAAUACUCACAAUAAAUAAACAGUCCUACAUUUCAACAACAAAAAACAACCCAACUAAAAAAAAAGAAUAAAAAGGACUUGAAUAAACACUUCUCCAAAGAAGAUAUAUAAGUGGCCAAGAGCACAUGAAAAGAUAUUCAACAAAAUUGAUCAUUAAGGAAAUAUAAAUAAAAUCCACAAUGAGAUACCACUUCACACCCAGUAGGAUGGCUUUAAUUUUUUUUUUAAUGAAAUACAAGUGUUAGUGAAUUGAAUAGAAGCCUUUAUACAUUGCUGGUAGAAAUGUAAAAGAGUAUAGCAACUUGGAAAAGAUUGGAAGUUCAUCCAAUUUGCAGUACUUCAUUGUAUGAUUCCCUUAUAAUAUAUCCAGAAUAGGCAAAUCCAUAGAGAUAAAAAGCAGAAUGGAGGUUACCAGGGAAUAGGGAGAGGGAAGAAGGCGGAGUGACUAUGUAUGGCUGUUUUUGUUGGGUGACAAGAAAGUUUUGAAAUUAGAGCUGCUGGUUAUACAGUAUUGCAAAUACAUUGAAUACCACCAUAUUGUAUACUUUAAAAUGAUUAAUUGUAUAUUUUAUUAUGUUUCUUAAUUUUAAGACUUCAUGUAGAAAAACAUAGAAUUUAUUUUUUGUAAAGACAUGUAUUUCAGGCAUUAAUUUUUAGGCCUUUCCCAAAAUUAUUCUUUUGAAGCUAGUAAUCAAAUAACUAACUUAUUUUUUGAGCCCCUGCUAUCCAUUCAGUAUGCUUUUUCUCCUACUUCUAGUGGCAUUUAAAUUUAGAUUCUUCUCUUAAUGCUCUAACAUCAAAAGUAACCUAUACCCUUACAGAAAUGAGUUUCCAUUCAUUUUUUGUUCAGAUAUAGAUAAGUAAAAAUAGUUUCUAAUGAAUCCAUCAUUUAAAAAAUCCAAUGGUAACUGAAAUUUUCACAUAAAACUGACUUUUACAUUGCAGCUUCUUGAGUUACUCAGCUUUGGUGAGGUUCUGGAAGUUCUCAACUUACAAGAACUGAUUUUUCAUAUUUUAAAUUGUUUUAACAAGGAUUUGAUUUCAUUUAAUAACUACCAUCCAGAACUCUUCAUUCAUAUUUUAUAAAACUACAUUUUAUUAUACAAAUAAUUAUAUGAAAUAAACAUUGCCAGUCAAAGGUUAUGUUCAUACUUUUAUGUCAGCAAAUAAUUUCAAGUUGUUUUUUUUUUUCACAAGAACAGAAUAUGGGUCUUGUUUUGUUUUCUGUUUUGUUUUUGCUUUUGUUUUUUGAGUCAGGGUCUCACUCCAACGCCCAGGCUGGAGUGCGGUGCUGCAAUCGUGGCUCACUGCAGCCCGUCUCCCAGGCUCAAGUGAUUUUCCCACCUCAGCCUCCCAAGUAGCUGGGACUAUAGAUGCAUGCCACCACGCCUAUCUAAUUUUUGUAUUUUUUUGUGGAGAUAGGGUUUCGCCAUUCUGCCAACAGUGGCCUUGAAUGCCUGGGCUCAAGCGAUCUGCCCACCUUGGUCUCCUAAAGUGCUGGGAUUACAGGUGUGAGCCACUGUACCCGGCCUCAAAAUGUGUUUCUAUAAGAAAUCUUCUCACAGAUUUCCAGAAUGUCGGAAAUGAGAAGUUUCUAUAAUAGCAAUUAUCACAGACUCUGCUUGUCAAUAAAGUAGCAAGUAAAUCUUUAAAUGGUCAUAGCAAAACCAACGACCAGUUGCUUUAUUUUUCAUUAUAUUUUCUAGCUGUCAAUACAUUAAGAACACUUGAAAAUAUGCACAGUCACCUACUAAUGAACUAGUACUUUAGAUGUAGUACUUUAGUUGCAUCAGUGGUUCUCAACUAGCUGUGAUUUUUGACCCUCAAAGUAUGUUUGGCAGUGUCUAGAGGAACUUUUGGUUGUCACACCUUGGGGGAGCUACUGGCACCUACUGAGUGGACUUAGGGAUGUUGCUAAUCCUCCAAUAGACUGAACGGCCUCACACAAAAAAAGAAUUAACAAGUCCAAAUGUCAACUUUGAGAAAUCAUGAGCUACAUUAAUGGUCUCAUCCAUUUCCAGCCUAAAAUCUGCAGCUUUAUCUCAGAACAGUUUGCUGAAGCUCGUUUUUUUAUGUCACAAGCUAUAAAUUUGAUUUGUAAUUAUAAGAAUUUAGCUAAACAAUAUAAUCUCAAGAAAAGCAGAGAUUUAGAAUGUUUGAUAGAAAACUGACAGAGAAUGAAACAUAAAAAGGAGAUAUAAAUCAAGUCAGAGCCAUAUAUAACCAAAAUUUAAAUGAAGAUCUGGAUAGAUAUCUAGACCUCUCCAACUUAUUAGUUACAAUUUGCAAUGUAAACAGUACAGGACAUCACUAAAAAUUAAGGGGCAUAGCAGAGGUACUUUCUAUAUUCAUGCCACAUAAAUAUCUUUUCUCGAAGACAAAAUUUUGAAAAACAGCUAUUUAAUUUUAUACUCUUAUUUCAACUUUCAGCAUUGUGUUUAUCUUUGCUGGCACAUUAAGUCUUCUUUGGAAGGAGGUGGGUAUAUAAAUUAAACCAUUUGUUCUUCCUAGUACUUCAUCAAGUAAUAAUAACAAAAAAAAGGAAAUAAAAAAGAAGUUGCAUUCCAAGAGAAGUUUAUUUUUCAAAUUUGCUAGCCCUAUAAAGCACUUUAAAAAAUAAUGCUAUUUAGAUUAUCUUCACUUCCAAGUCAGAUUGUCCCAGAGAAUGCAAAUGUGCUACAUUUGUUACUUCUCCUUACCCUGUUAAUUUCUUGGAAGUUUAAAAAAAAAAAAAAAAAAGGAUUACAAAAUGAAGGACUUUACAUUAAAAUCUCAAUACUGAUCUCUUAGUCAGUUUAAAAGAAAAAUCAAGUUUCACAAAAUAAAUACACUGAAGCAACUAUAAUAGUAAUAACCUUUAUUUAAAAUAGAUUUAAUUUAG
This 5797-nucleotide long non-coding RNA is filed under the name Homo sapiens (human). RNAcentral describes it as "HSALNT0080886". The record is from RNAcentral. Lineage: Eukaryota; Metazoa; Chordata; Mammalia; Primates; Hominidae.